GUGCGCCGUUUACACGUUUGCCCUUAUAUGAUAUGUAUCUUAUGUAUAUCUUGUAUUUUGCAGCAUGUUCAAGAAUAUUUCUGCAUGGUGCACUCUGACUGUUGAUAAUAUUUGCAUACUGAAAUGACUUCAACAACCAGAAUGUGUUUUUGAUAAAUAUUAGUAAUAAUAGAAACUUUAAUCCAUUCCUUGAUUUGUCACUUCAAAAUAUCUCAAAGAAGUGAACCUUAGACAAACUGCUGGUGUAUUGUGGAAGUUAAGAAGGUAGAGAUGAAUCUCAAAAUAUUGCUAAACUUUUUGACCAGACAGUUCAAAUGUCCACAAGACCUGCACAAAAGAACUCUGCAUCAAAUGUCCACAAGACCUGCAAAAGUGAUAAUGCAGAUAAUAUCCUAGCAGCCAUCCAAAAACUAACAGAGAAAAAUCAGGAAUGCCUUGGGAAUAUGUCAUUCAAACUCACAAAAGCAGCAUUUACCAACAUUUACAAUCAAAAAGAAUAUGUCAUGAUAAACAAUAAAUGUAGGUACGAUUCAAACAUUGAAACAGCGCAAUAUGAUGACAUCAGUGAAAAAUGGUUUCAUUGCGAUGGAAGUAACUAUAUUCGUCGCAUCUUGUUAAAUCCUACACAUGUUAAAUUGUUAAGUAGUUCUUUUGUUGGUCAAUUUUUUAUUAGGACACAUUUUCCAAAUGUGAAGCGAUUAAAUGAGAAGGGCGAAACAGUUUUCAUGGUGAGAAAUUCGUUUUUUUAAUGGUACAUGAAGAAGAUCAACGCAAAAAAUAUGCCUUUAGUUUUAGCUGCUUUAAGAAUAUAUCAGGACGAAGUAUAUGAAGAAUAUUUAAAGUCAAAAAUAAUCGAGCUUAAGACAACAAAUAAUUACUUUAAAAUAAAAGUUGACAAGUUAAGCAAGUUUUGUGCGCAUUUUUUUGAAUACAAAAUUGCCACUUCAACUGAAAUACAAAAUGUGAUAACUUAUGAUAUAGUAAAAAAUGCAAAUGCCAUUAUAAAGAGAAGUUGGUUGACGAAGAACCUUAGCAAUAAUAAAAGAUAAGAAAAAAUUUUUAUAAUUUGAUAAUAACCCAGAGAUUUGAAUAUUUUGGUAUUCAUAUUUAAUAGAAAUGAUUUUAAAUUACAAAUGUAAUUUUUUGUAAUUUCAAUAGUUUGUACUCGAACUUUAUAUUAAAAAUUUAAAUAAUAAAUACUUUUUUUAAUUUUUUUAUUUUAUACAUACCUUGAGCAUUUCCAUAUUUUUUUUUUUUUUUUUUGUGAAAAAACCUUUUGAAUUUUUAGCAAUGUGUUAUAUGUGUUUAAUUGAUCAACAUUCAAUUCCAUCCCCUCUUAUAAAAAAAAUUAAAUGACAGUUUUUUAUUACUUUUUAGCGUGUUAUGUUUAUUUAGUAAUUGAAAGACUAUUCUGAAGAAUAAUAAAAAUGUCUAUGUUUUCAAUGAAUAAUUUCUAUGUUUAUAAGACAUGUUUGUAUAAUAUAGACAUAAUUUCUUGCCACUAGAAAUUGAAAGUGUCCUCAUUUACAAUAUAUACCUAUUUUAAAAAUAUACCUAUGAUUUUUAAGAAUAUUGUUUGUGAAGCGACUUUGAUGUAAAAUUCAUCAAUAUUCAGAUGGUAUUUAAAAAAAACGGGCUUUAAAAAAAUAUAAAUAAGCACAACACUUUGAGGUAACAACAAGCGACUAAGAAAAAAUGGAAACUAUCAAGUUUUCUACCAAAACUGCAAAAUAUAUUAACAGUGGCGUUUUACCACCUGGUAUUUUAUCAGUUUUCGAAUGUACGGUAUUGUCCAAAAGUUUGAAUCCAUCUCAAAUUUUUGUCCAAAACUGAUAAUUUUUUGAUUUGUUUAUUUGUAAUUUGUUUUUAUUGUUAUACUAUUGAUUGAUUGUUAGAAAAAUUGCUUGACUCAUACUUUUAUUCUAUUUGUGCUCUAUAUUUUGUGUUUUUGUGUAUUCAAAUUCAGAGGUGGAUAUGAACUUUUGGCCAUUACUGUAGAUUUUAAAAAUAAAUGUUCUGAUUUUAUUACCACUGUUUGUCUUAUAGAUAAAUAUGAUCACUUCAGUAAAAAUGGUUCGAUUGCGAUAAAGGUGACUGUAGUCGUUGUAUUACAGUAAAUCAUUUACAUCUAAAUUUGAUAAAUAGUUCUUUAAUUGAGCAAUAAUUUAUAAGGGCACAUUUUUGAAAUGUGAUGCUACAUAAAUGAGAAGGGCGAAACAGUAUUCAUUGUUAGUGAUUCAUUUUUUCAAUGGGACAUAAAAAAAAAAAAUCGAAGCAAAAAAUAUGCGUUUAGUUAUAU
Hydra vulgaris (swiftwater hydra) is the source of this 2299-nucleotide non-coding RNA. Lineage: Eukaryota; Metazoa; Cnidaria; Hydrozoa; Anthoathecata; Hydridae. The record is from RefSeq and is a predicted model, not a curated record.